This 312-nucleotide long non-coding RNA is filed under the name Hordeum vulgare. RNAcentral's name for it is "long non-coding RNA (HVUL_LNC016580)". The record is from RNAcentral. Lineage: Eukaryota; Viridiplantae; Streptophyta; Magnoliopsida; Poales; Poaceae.
GGCCGAGGCGGUCUGCGAGAGCGCUAGGAAGACCACGAGCACGGCCAGAGAACGCAGUGCCAUUGUGACUGCCCCUGGACUAGAGCUGCUUCUUGGAAAUGAGUUUACAAAGUGAAGGGCGGUUGGUGUACGGCAAAGAUAAAAUCUGUUUCAAAAAGUACUUUUUUAGAGAAAUGUUAUAAUUUUUAGAAAAUGUAAGUAUUGUUAAAUAAGUGUUCCAAUUUCAAUGAAAAUGUUAACUUUCAUUAAUAAAGAAAAUUUGCACGUUUAACCUUAUCAUCGACGUUUAGUAAAAUUGAACAUCAAUGGCCC